AAGAAGGCAGUACCACUGGAGAGAUUGCUUAACAUUAACCCAUCCUAGGUUCAAACUUCAAAAGCAUGCCUGCCGAAUCCUGAGAAGUAACAGACAUGUGGAGAAUGGAUUGGAGAGGGAGACUCUUGAACAAAACCAAUGGGGAAGCUAGUCCAGAUUAAUAGUUUAGAGAUAUUGAGUGUUUAAAUAUACUAUCUGUAUGAAUGGAGAGAAGAGGUAGACACAAUCCAUUCAAAUCUUAAACCCUGUAGUCUUUGAGGGAUUCAUGGGGUGAUGGUAUAGAUUUAGGCUUGCCCUUAAAGCCCGACUAAUCCGACUCCUUAUUUCAUAGAUGAUAAACUGAUGUGCAGAGAUCAAGGUCACAAAAUGGAAUCCUAGCCAUUCUUCAAAGCCCAACUGAUAUGCUACCUUUAGAAAACCGUAGCUGAUCUCCUCACAAGUAAAUCUAAUUCCUGAUCUAUGCUCAGAAGAGGAAAUACAAAGGCAAAAGAAGGCAACCAGGAUGGGAAGUCCAGGAAUUCCUCUCUCUGUCUUAUCUGAGUAAACUCAGACAACUACUGUUUUCUGCUCACAGGCAUGGUGAAGAAAAGGAAGAUAUCUUCUUCCCAUCUCCCGUCCCAAUACCCCUUGCUGCACUUUUGUUUGGAAGUCGAAGAGGGAGAAAAAUCUGGAAAAGAAAAGGGUGGUUAGCUUGCUUUUAUAGACACAAGGGGAAAGGAAGGUUCCUCCAUCAAGACUCUGUCUUCCCUUCCGAAUCAUCUUGGAGGCAGCUCCAGUUACUGGGAUGAGUCAGAGGAUUCCUUGGUCUCUUCUCAGCAGACUGCUAGGAACAUGCCUCCUUCUGUGAGAGCUUCUCUCUUAACAAAGGCCCAUGCCUUGUAAUCCAAGGAGACUUGGAGGUCUCAUCAAAGUGGUCAGAGGGAGACUUAAGACAAGGAGACUAAUUAGGAAGUGACUCUACCUCCCUUGGCCUCCAUUUUCAAAAAGAGGGAGCUGGACUAGUUAACCUCUGAGGUCCCUUCCGUCUAGAACCAUGAUUUCACUUCAUCAUUACUGGAUGUUUUGGGUAGAAGAAGCUACAGGGAGCUUCAUUCUGCCCAUGUCAGGGCUUCCCCGUCUCUGUCAUCUCUUUCUCUUGUAAAUAACAGAAUUUCAGGGUUCAAAGGGAUUUCAAAGGUCACAGAGUCCAACCCAUCGCUGAAAGGGGUCCUCACUGCUACAGUCUCAAUAAAUGGAUGUUCGGCUUCUGCUUGAAGAUGUCCAACACGGGGGUGCCCACAACCUCCCAAGGCAGCCAGUUCACUUAUGGAUAGCUCUAAUGGUUAGGAUGUAUUUUCCUGACAUAAAACCUAAAUUUGCCUUCAUGUUACUUUCA
This is a long non-coding RNA of Phascolarctos cinereus (koala), 1375 nucleotides long. RefSeq lists it as uncharacterized. NCBI's taxonomy places the organism in Eukaryota, Metazoa, Chordata, Mammalia, Diprotodontia, Phascolarctidae. The record is from RefSeq and is a predicted model, not a curated record.